GACGGAGGGUGCAAGCGUUAUUCGGAAUAAUUGGGCGUAAAGGGUGCGUAGACGGUCCGCUAAGUCUGUUGUUGAAUCUUUCGGCUUAACCGAAAAUCUGCAAUGGAAACUGGUAGGCUAGAGCGUGAGAGAGAGAAGUGGAAUUCUUGGAGUAGCGGUAAAAUGCGUAGAUCUCAAGAGGAACACAGAUGGCGAAGGCAGCUUCUUGGCUCACUACUGACGUUGAGGCACGAAAGCGUGGGGAGCGAACAGG
RNAcentral lists this ribosomal RNA (253 nucleotides) under uncultured bacterium. Its description in RNAcentral is "partial 16S ribosomal RNA". It matches the Rfam family "Bacterial small subunit ribosomal RNA", at positions 524 to 776 of the family's 1533-position model. The record is from RNAcentral.